ACGCUCGACACCUACGGGAAGCAGCAGUGGGGAAUAUUGCACAAUGGGGGAAACCCUGAUGCAGCAACGCCGCGUGAAGGAAGACGGUUUUCGGAUUGUAAACUUCUGUUCUUAGUGAAGAUAGUGACGGUAGCUAAGGAGCAAGCCACGGCUAACUACGUGCUAGCAGCCGCGGUAAUCUGAGCGGGCUGGCAAGGC
RNAcentral lists this ribosomal RNA (198 nucleotides) under uncultured bacterium. RNAcentral's name for it is "partial 16S ribosomal RNA". It matches the Rfam family "Bacterial small subunit ribosomal RNA", at positions 326 to 539 of the family's 1533-position model. The record is from RNAcentral.